RNAcentral lists this ribosomal RNA (486 nucleotides) under uncultured bacterium. Its description in RNAcentral is "partial 16S ribosomal RNA". It matches the Rfam family "Bacterial small subunit ribosomal RNA", at positions 28 to 507 of the family's 1533-position model. The record is from RNAcentral.
GAUGAACGCUAGCGGCAGGCUUAACACAUGCAAGUCGAGGGGCAGCGCGGGAUAGCAAUAUCCUGGCGGCGACCGGCGGAAGGGUGCGUAACGCGUGAGCGACAUGCCCGUUGCCCGGGGACAACCGGUGGAAACGCCGACUAAUCCCCGAUGGGAUAUUGUGCCACAUGGCACGACAUUGAAAGUUACGGCGGCGACGGAUUGGCUCGCGUCCGAUUAGCUUGUUGGCGGGGUAACGGCCCACCAAGGCUGCGAUCGGUAGGGGUUCUGAGAGGAAGGCCCCCCACAAUGGGACUGAGACACGGCCCAUACUCCUACGGGAGGCAGCAGUGAGGAAUAUUGGUCAAUGGGCGGAAGCCUGAACCAGCCAUGCCGCGUGCGGGAAGGAGGCCCUAUGGGCUGUGAACCGCUUUUGCCUGGGGGCAAUAAGGGCGUCGCGCACGUCCGAUGAGAGUACCAGGCGAAUAAGCAUCGGCUAACUCCGUG